AUGCACGCUGGCGGCGUGCCUAAUACCUGCAAGUCGAGCGAACAGACGAGGAGCUUGCUCCUCUGACGUUAGCGGCGGACGGGUGAGUAACACGUGGAUAACCUACCUAUAAGACUGGGAUAACUUCGGGAAACCGGAGCUAAUACCGGAUAAUAUAUUGAACCGCAUGGUUCAAUAGUGAAAGACGGUUUUGCUGUCACUUAUAGAUGGAUCCGCGCCGCAUUAGCUAGUUGGUAAGGUAACGGCUUACCAAGGCAACGAUGCGUAGCCGACCUGAGAGGGUGAUCGGCCACACUGGAACUGAGACACGGUCCAGACUCCUACGGGAGGCAGCAGUAGGGAAUCUUCCUCAAUGGGCGAAAGCCUGACGGAGCAACGCCGCGUGAGUGAUGAAGGUCUUCGGAUCGUAAAACUCUGUUAUUAGGGAAGAACAAAUGUGUAAGUAACUAUGCACGUCUUGACGGUACCUAAUCAGAAAGCCACGGCUAACUACGUG
This 496-nucleotide ribosomal RNA is filed under the name uncultured bacterium. RNAcentral describes it as "partial 16S ribosomal RNA". It matches the Rfam family "Bacterial small subunit ribosomal RNA", at positions 29 to 507 of the family's 1533-position model. The record is from RNAcentral.